GAAAGGAGAGCGUGGUGUCUGGAGGUGAUCGGAAGGGACUGGCUGGAGUGUGGCGGGCUGACAGGUCUGAGGCCUGAAGGACUUCCGGGAACCGCAAAGCACGGUGUGCCUCCGCUGUCCUGAAGAAAAAGCCGCGCGCGGACGACUGGCCGGCCCGCGCUUGCAGCUCCCAGAAGUUGACAGGCAUCCUCCGGUGACCGGUGUGAGUAUGGCAUCAGGAUGAUUUGACUGCAAGCAACAGAAAAAUCAAACAAAAAUGGCCUAAGCCAAGAAGAGAAAUGAUUAUUUCACAUUCCAAGAAGUUUGGGAGUCGAGUGGUUAAACGGCUAAUUAAUCUAGAGCUCAACAGUAUCACCCAGGACCCAUUUUCACUAUGGUGGCUAAAGCUCUGCACCCUUCAGGCUUGCACCAUGGCAGCAGCAGUGACAGUAAAGACACCCUUACACCACAAUGCUCCAUGACCAGGGAGAGGGUCUCCUCUCUCCUGCCCCUUUCUGGAGGCUCCACCGAAGAUUUCUCUUCACAUUCCGUUUCUCAUUCCUGAAGCAGUUGCUGGCAACAGGGAUGGACUUACCGCAAUGGGUACAGAGCAACUAAGAUUCACCACUAGCAGAUCUGCAUUGUAAGAAAAAUGAGAAGAAUUCCUUCAGGAAGAAGAAAAAUGAUACCAGAUGGAUAUGUGGAUCCACAUAAAGGAACGAAGAGCACAGGAAAUAGUAACUAUACUGCCUAUGUGGUGAAUUUUAUUAGUGGAUUGCCCAAUGAUAAAUAAGGUUUCCUUCGUCAGUCCAGGCAGGACUGUGCGGUUGGAAAAGGGACGGAUGCUGGUCCUGGAAGGGGCGUCGUUAUCUAGAAGCUCCCAACCUAAGUGGGUGACUCAUAGGGAGGGCAAGGAGAGAAGGACACAGCAAGCAACUUACAUGUAAAACAAGACGUGUGGGUUAUUAUGGAAGAAAUUCACAACCAAACUUGGGGUUAGCCCGUAUUGUUUUCCAAGAACUCUAUGUGGACAGUGACAAAAAACAGACCUAAGAACUAGCAGACUGGGCAAAGCUUUUUCACAUAACAACAACAAAAAAAGCAAUUCCUCAGGAAAAAAUGGUCAAUGGGUCAUUGUGUGUAGACAAAACUACAAGUUCUGCUCCAGACUCUGGGGAAACCAUGCUGCCAUCUUCAAGCUGUGGCCAUUCUGUAAUACAGACUACGCUAAAUCACAUGUUGUCAUCAAGGCAGAAUAUUUUGUUCCUUUAUGGGUCAGCCUGGGAUACAAAAUUAGAGAAACUUUGCAA
RNAcentral lists this long non-coding RNA (1289 nucleotides) under Homo sapiens (human). RNAcentral's name for it is "COX10 divergent transcript". The record is from RNAcentral. Lineage: Eukaryota; Metazoa; Chordata; Mammalia; Primates; Hominidae.